AGAGUUUGAUCCUGGCUCAGGACGAACGCUGGCGGCGUGCUUAACACAUGCAAGUCGAACGAUGAAGCCCAGCUUGCUGGGUGGAUUAGUGGCGAACGGGUGAGUAACACGUGAGUAACCUGCCCUUUCCUCUGGGAUAACUCCGGGAAACCGGUGCUAAUACUGGAUAUGACUGCUGCCUGCAUGGGUGGUGGUGGAAAGAUUUAUCGGGAUUGGAUGGACUCGCGGCCUAUCAGCUUGUUGGUGGGGUAAUGGCCUACCAAGGCGACGACGGGUAGCCGGCCUGAGAGGGUGACCGGCCACACUGGGACUGAGACACGGCCCAGACUCCUACGGGAGGCAGCAGUGGGGAAUAUUGCACAAUGGGCGGAAGCCUGAUGCAGCGACGCCGCGUGAGGGAUGACGGCCUUCGGGUUGUAAACCUCUUUCAGCUCUGACGAAGCUUUUGUGACGGUACCUACAGAAGAAGCACCGGCUAACUACGUGCCAGCAGCCGCGGUAAUACGUAGGGUGCGAGCGUUGUCCGGAAUUAUUGGGCGUAAAGAGCUUGUAGGCGGUUUGUCGCGUCUGCUGUGAAAGCCCGGGGCUUAACUCCGGGUCUGCAGUGGGUACGGGCAGACUAGAGUAUGGUAGGGGAGACUGGAAUUCCUGGUGUAGCGGUGGAAUGCGCAGAUAUCAGGAGGAACACCGAUGGCGAAGGCAGGUCU
This 707-nucleotide ribosomal RNA is filed under the name uncultured Ornithinimicrobium sp. RNAcentral's name for it is "bacterial SSU rRNA". It matches the Rfam family "Bacterial small subunit ribosomal RNA", at positions 8 to 728 of the family's 1533-position model. The record is from RNAcentral. Lineage: Bacteria; Bacillati; Actinomycetota; Actinomycetes; Micrococcales; Ornithinimicrobiaceae.